RNAcentral lists this unclassified non-coding RNA (737 nucleotides) under Hevea brasiliensis (rubber tree). The record is from RNAcentral. Lineage: Eukaryota; Viridiplantae; Streptophyta; Magnoliopsida; Malpighiales; Euphorbiaceae.
CUCAGAGCCCCAACCUGAGGUUAGGGCUUCUGCUGUCUUUGCAUUGGGAACCUUGCUUGAUGUUGGAGGUGAUGCAUGCCGAGAUGGUGUUGCAGGUGAUGAUGAAUGCUAUGAUGACGAAAAAUUUAGAGCUGAGAUCAGCAUUGUUCGAAACCUACUCAGUGUUGUUUCAGAUGGAAGCCCACUUGUCAGGGCAGAGGUUGCUGUAGCUUUAGCACGCUUUGCAUUUGGCCAUAAGCAGCACCUCAAGUCAAUUGCUGCUGCAUAUUGGAAACCCCAGUCAAAUUCUGUACUGAAUUCAUUACCUUCGUUGGCCCAUAUAAAAGUUACAGGUAGUGGAUGUACUAAUGCAAACCAGUAUAUGUCGCAUGCAAGUAUUCUUUCAUCUCAAAUUGGUCCUUUAACGAGAGUUGGAAAUGACAAUCAAUCGGUGGUUCGAGAUAGGAGGGUCUCUACUAGUAGUCCUCUUACCACAUCUGGAAUUAUGCAAGGAUCGCCUUUAUCUGAUGAUUCGUCUCAACAUUCUGAUCCGGGAAUGUUGAAUGAUGUUGUCAGCAAUGGGGUUGUCCACCAUUCGAGACCAAAACCAUUGGAUAAUGCAAUGUAUUCACAGUGUGUACUGGCCAUCUGUACACUGGCUAAGGAUCCCUCUCCACGCAUUGCAAGUCUUGGUCGGCGGGUACUGUCCAUUAUUGGAAUUGAACAAGUGGUGACAAAAACUGUCAACAUCAUUCAAC